AUAAUUUGUCAAUGUGAUUACCAAAGGACAAUAAUAGUGCAAGAAACAUAUCUUGAAUAUAAUUUUUAACAUGACCAUAAUGGUAUAACUUUCUCUUUAAAAAGAGAUAUUCACCUCAUGGAUGUUGAUGAAUUUGUGGUAGUAUAAAAUUAAUUGAGAGCUCUAGAAAAGCCAAUUACUACAAUGUUGGAGAAACACAAUUGAUUACCAAUAAGGUAUUGUGUUGUAGUAAGUCUCAAAGA
RNAcentral lists this long non-coding RNA (242 nucleotides) under Nicotiana benthamiana. Its description in RNAcentral is "long non-coding RNA (NBEN_LNC001253)". The record is from RNAcentral. Lineage: Eukaryota; Viridiplantae; Streptophyta; Magnoliopsida; Solanales; Solanaceae.